RNAcentral lists this ribosomal RNA (256 nucleotides) under uncultured bacterium. RNAcentral describes it as "partial 16S ribosomal RNA". It matches the Rfam family "Bacterial small subunit ribosomal RNA", at positions 524 to 776 of the family's 1533-position model. The record is from RNAcentral.
UACGUAGGGUGCAAGCGUUAAUCGGAAUUACUGGGCGUAAAGCGUGCGCAGGCGGUGAUGUAAGACAGAUGUGAAAAUCCCCGGGCUCAACCUGGGAACUGCAUUUGUGACUGCAUCGCUGGAGUGCGGCAGAGGGGGGAUGGAAUUCCGCGUGUAGCAGUGAAAUGCGUAGAUAUGCGGAGGAACACCGAUGGCGAAGGCAAUCCCCUGGGCCUGCACUGGACGCUCAUGCACGAAAGCGUGGGGAGCAAACAGG